Molecule: unclassified non-coding RNA, 337 nt
Filed under: soil metagenome
Description: partial contains 5.8S ribosomal RNA, internal transcribed spacer 2, and large subunit ribosomal RNA
Rfam family: 5.8S ribosomal RNA (bases 1-120)
Source: RNAcentral
GAUGAAGAACGCAGCGAAAUGCGAUAAGUAGUGUGAAUUGCAGAAUUCAGUGAAUCAUCGAAUCUUUGAACGCACAUUGCGCCCCUUGGUAUUCCAUGGGGCAUGCCUGUUCGAGCGUCAUUUGUACCUUCAAGCUCUGCUUGGUGUUGGGUGUUUGUCUCGCCUCUGCGUGUAGACUCGCCUCAAAACAAUUGGCAGCCGGCGUAUUGAUUUCGGAGCGCAGUACAUCUCGCGCUUUGCACUCAUAACGACGACGUCCAAAAGUACAUUUUUACACUCUUGACCUCGGAUCAGGUAGGGAUACCCGCUGAACUUAAGUAUAUCAAUAAGCGGAGGA